This 28-nucleotide non-coding RNA is filed under the name Homo sapiens (human). Lineage: Eukaryota; Metazoa; Chordata; Mammalia; Primates; Hominidae. The record is from RNAcentral.
UGGAUUUUGAGUUUCGGGCUCUAGAUGG